UUAAUUCGAUGCAACGCGAAGAACCUUACCUGGGUUUGACAUCACUCAAAAAGCCGUAGAGAUACGGUGUCCUUCGGGGUGGGUGACAGGUGGUGCAUGGCUGUCGUCAGCUCGUGUCGUGAGAUGUUGGGUUAAGUCCCGCAACGAGCGCAACCCUCGUUCGAUGUUGCCAGCGGUUCGGCCGGGGACUCAUCGAAGACUGCCGGGGUCAACUCGGAGGAAGGUGGGGAUGACGUCAAGUCAUCAUGCCCCUUAUGUCCAGGGCUUCACGCAUGCUACAAUGGCCGGUACAAAGGGCUGCGAUGCCGUAAGGUGGAGCGAAUCCCAAAAAGCCGGUCUCAGUUCGGAUCGGGGUCUGCAACUCGACCCCGUGAAGUCGGAGUCGCUAGUAAUCGCAGAUCAGCAUUGCUGCGGUGAAUACGUUCCCGGGCCUUGUACACACCGCCCGUC
Molecule: ribosomal RNA, 450 nt
Filed under: uncultured bacterium
Lineage: Bacteria
Description: bacterial SSU rRNA
Rfam family: Bacterial small subunit ribosomal RNA
Source: RNAcentral